ACAGCCAUGAUUCAGCAAUUGAUGUACAUAGGGAACCAUUAGAGGAGUCCUUUUAGAGCAGGCUUUGUCAUGAGUCAGGUUCUGUGCUACACUUUUACAGGCUCCAAUCCUGGAAUAAUCCUUCAUCUUUACCUACCUGCUUCCUGAGGCAUCAAGUCCAAUGUCAUCAGCAGACUUGUAGGAUCUUAUUGCAACAUAUUUCUGCUUACCAUCCGAUUCACCUCAUUAUUCACCAAGUACUCUGAGCUUCUGCAACUCUCAAAGAUUGGGGAAAAGACAACCAUGUAAGGAAAAUGGCUUUGGAUGCAGGCUGAAUGCAUUGAAUUCUUUCUUUUAGGUUUAAUAUCACUGUGACAGUGUGCCAUUUACCAGGGCUAAAUUGAAUACAUAUGGAUUUUUAAUUGUACGAAGUUGCUGUCUGAGAACUCCAUCAUGAACCAGAUGCCCACUGCACAAGAUGUUAUACAACACAGAAGAAAAAAAUGAUCCUCGCUAUUCUUCCCCUGCCCUGCUUUGGGCCCACUGUACCUGAAGGUGCCCUUGCAGCUGGCAGCCCAGAGGACUGCCACCCUCUCGUCUUCAUUGCACAGUGAGCAAGCCGUGGUGUCAUGAGGACAGCUGGAGCACACUCCUGGCUGCCUCCCAAGCCCUUGUGGAGCCAGGCAGCUCCUGUUGUGCCACUCUCCCCGGCAGCAAGCCCCCCCUUUAGGGCUCGUCAUUGCCCUACUUCUGCACAUCCAGUCUGUUAGAGGUAUCCUUAGACCAGGAGUGAUCACCAUUUUGUGUUCCUCAGGGAUUCAUGUCAGCUGGCUGCUGGUUGCUUUCACCUUGUCCUGCUCUCUGCUUCUACUUGCCUUAUCACUGUGGCUUCUUUUCUACAGCUGCUUAUUUUGAAGAUUUAACUGGAAAUUAUGUGGCACAUUAACUUCACAUUAACACUCUGUGCAGGGAUCAAUUUUGUUCAGGUCAAGCGAUGAAUUCAAGUGAAGUUCAUGGGAAUUGGAACCAAGUUAUCUUUUAUGAUUGUUCACUAAAUAUGUAUAAUCCUGAGAAACACUCCCUAAGCUAGAGGGAUUCACUUCCUAAUGAAAGAUGUGGUCACUUUGUGCCUGGGGAUGAGAAACAGCCAUAAUGUUUUCACUGCAGGCUGCUGUCAGCAUGACGGGGUAAAGAGACAGAGUCCCCAGCAUGGUAGCACUGCCACUACCAUAUGUGUGCACACAGGAUGGGGAUUUGCUGUCCCAGACCAAUGGGAUUUUGGUCAGAAUAGCUGUAUGCACAGUGGGGUAGGGCAUUCUGAGGGUAGUGUAUCAGCAAUCCUGUGCUGAUAAAGAGGUUCUGGACAAAGCCAUAAACAGAAAUAAAAUACAUCACUGCUCACCACUUCUUUCCUUCAGUCAAAUAAACAAGUUUAUGCCUCAGCUACUAACUCACCAUUGAAUUUAUCCAGAGAUCUAAACAAAACCAUACUAACUUGACACCACAAGACUACUUUCAAGCAAAACAAUCCCUACAGAUAUGACUUGAAGAUAGAAUUAAUUCAUUUAAAUAUGAGACCUUUAUUAUAUAGCAGUUGUUUCAACAUAGAAAUAUAAUGUAUUUUGAUACAUUAAUCUCAGAUUAUCAACAUAGUUCAUACAUAGUCUAUAUGUUUGUGACUGAAUGUUCCCUGUUCUGUACUUUAUAAACCUCUCUCCAAAGAGAUGCAAUGUAGUAAGACAAGUAGCAGUUCACCUCUACUAAGGAAGCUCUGUAUUUCCAAUGCUGUAAAACAAAUCAUUGCCAUUAAUCUGAGCCAUAUCCCUGUUACCUUCCCUGAUGGCAAAUCCUGCAGAUGAGAGAGAGGAAUAAUACGUGAAACAUGAGUGGUCACAGUUAGGGUUCAGAAGGGUAAGCUUUCCUCCAUCUUCAGCAUGCACACACUUGACCACACAGCGCCUGGACACAUAGCUCAGGCCCCCCACCUGGAUUUGUUACGAUCAAGAAGCAUAUGCAUAGUUCAGAACCAACCUACUCAUUUUCUGCAGCAUCCAGUAUAGGUUAUGUGAAAUAUUAAAAUAUGUAAUUUUAAAUGCAUGCCCUUUAUUGCUUUAUAACUAAGAAACCAGAUCUUUUCCCACUGACUUUCCAUGCAACUUUUCCCUGUUCUCAUAUCCCUUGUGGCUCUUAAGUGAGCAAAGGCACCAGUAUUAAAGUUUAUAAGAUAUUUAUAUAAAUCAUAUGGUUGGUGAGUAUUAAAUCUGAUUUUUCUCAAUAACCCGAGGGGGAAUAUUAAAAUAUUAAAAUUGUUUGAAUUUUUAAAACACAAAUGGGGUUUUGAAUAGUUUAGUCUGAAGCCUCGACUCUUGUAUGCAAAUAUAUACUGGCUGAAGAUAGAGUCUUUGAAGUUUUAAUCUUGUUAUUCACAUCUAGCAAGACAAAUGGCAGGCUUAAUAGAAAGUCUGUUCUGAAAAAUUGCAAACAGAGAAUUGUGGAAAAAAUUAGUUUUAUCUUCAGUUUUCAUCCCAUGAUUUAUAUCUUUAGAAGGGUAUAUCUCUUGUUCUAAAUUGCUGAUGUCAUAAUGCAAAAAUUCUCAGAUUUGCCUCAUGGUAUUGCAAACUUAAGAACCAUCUUUGCUUCUGUAUUUCAAUAUAUUUGAUUGUGAACACUUUGAAACCUUACAUCACUUUCUUGUACCAGAAAACUUCCUCUCAGCCUCUUAAUGCACUUUUCAGGAAUUCCUUUUGGUUCCAUAUUCUGUCUUUGUCAUCAAGCAUGCGCUAAAUACAACACUUAGAGGUGUGGAUCAGUGCAGCGUAGUCUCCCAAUUCUAGUUAAUACAUAAACACCAUUUGCCUUGAUGAGGAUGGUUCUGAGAUGUGCAAGGAUAUGUGUAGAAUAGCUAGAGAAGAGGUAGCCAUGUAGUCAAAAAGGAUAUUUGCUUUAGGCUCUGAUUAAGUCAAUUCUUGGGACAGAGUUGUGCUUGCAAACCCACGAUUACUGUAAGGCUGAGUUUUCUCAAAAAAGGGAUAUAUUUGCAUAAUGUUUGGACCAUCUUAUUGCCUGACUUGUGGGUAGAUGUGCAUAUGGAUAAGUAAAAUAAAUUGCAACAGAAAUGUACUAUGAGAAACAAAGUUGUAUUUUUGCAGAACUAAUUUUCUGUAUUUAAAGGUAGUUGUGUAGUCAUAACAAGGAGAAAUGCUAAGU
Molecule: long non-coding RNA, 3186 nt
Organism: Anas platyrhynchos (mallard)
Lineage: Eukaryota; Metazoa; Chordata; Aves; Anseriformes; Anatidae
Source: RefSeq, a predicted model, not a curated record